GACGGUAUAGUUUAAUUUGGCAAAAUAAUAAUUUCAUGUGUUAUAGUUAUGGGUUCAAGUCCCUUUACCGUCA
RNAcentral lists this transfer RNA (73 nucleotides) under Clydonella sawyeri. RNAcentral's name for it is "tRNA-Met". It matches the Rfam family "tRNA". Rfam says of the family: Transfer RNA (tRNA) molecules are approximately 80 nucleotides in length. Their secondary structure includes four short double-helical elements and three loops (D, anti-codon, and T loops). Further hydrogen bonds mediate the characteristic L-shaped molecular structure. tRNAs have two regions of fundamental functional importance: the anti-codon, which is responsible for specific mRNA codon recognition, and the 3' end, to which the tRNAs corresponding amino acid is attached (by aminoacyl-tRNA synthetases). tRNAs cope with the degeneracy of the genetic code in two manners: having more than one tRNA (with a specific anti-codon) for a particular amino acid; and 'wobble' base-pairing, i.e. permitting non-standard base-pairing at the 3rd anti-codon position. The record is from RNAcentral. Lineage: Eukaryota; Discosea; Flabellinia; Vannellidae.